CCUACGGGAGGCAGCAGUAGGGAAUAUUGCUCAAUGGGGGAAACCCUGAAGCAGCAACGCCGCGUGGAGGAUGACGGUUUUCGGAUUGUAAACUCCUUUUGUUAGAGAAGAUAAUGACGGUAUCUAACGAAUAAGCACCGGCUAACUCCGUGCCAGCAGCCGCGGUAACACGGAGGGUGCAAGCGUUACUCGGAAUCACUGGGCGUAAAGGGAGCGUAGGCGGGAUAGCAAGUCAGAUGUGAAAUCCUAUGGCUUAACCAUAGAACUGCAGUUGAAACUGUUAUUCUAGAGUAUGGGAGAGGUAGGUGGAAUUCUUGGGGUAGGGGGAAAAUCCGUAGAGAUCAAGAGGAAUACUCAUUGCGAAGGCGACCUGCUAGAACAUAACUGACGCCGAUGCGCGAAAGCGUGGGGAGCAAACAGGAUUAGAUACCCCUGUAGUC
Molecule: ribosomal RNA, 440 nt
Filed under: uncultured bacterium
Lineage: Bacteria
Description: partial 16S ribosomal RNA
Rfam family: Bacterial small subunit ribosomal RNA
Source: RNAcentral